Molecule: long non-coding RNA, 1087 nt
Organism: Asparagus officinalis (garden asparagus)
Lineage: Eukaryota; Viridiplantae; Streptophyta; Magnoliopsida; Asparagales; Asparagaceae
Exons: 5
Source: RefSeq, a predicted model, not a curated record
AAAAAUCCCCAGAUCUGGCCUCUAAUUCAAUUUCAUCCCCUAAAUCCCUAAAUCCCCUAAAUCCCCAGAUCUGGCCUCUAAUUCACCUCCCUCCCGUCCUCGCCGUCGCCUCCCUCCCGAAGUCGUCGUUGACCGAAUCGCAGGAACCAGAACUCCAAGAUUUCGUCGUCGCCUCCUCUCUCGUCCGCGAGCAUCGUCGUCGCCUCCUUCCUCCGGAUCUAAAGGAUAAUAUUGUUGCCGCGUCGAAGGAUGCAGCACUACGUGCUACCCAAGAAGCUGAUGAUGACCCUCAUGUCUUGUCUAGAGAGGAAAAUAAUGCUAUUGCAAUGAAUGUGAUGGGGUAUAAUAACCGGGGCAAAUUUCCAUUGAUGGGGGUUGGAGCUCAGCGGGGUACCUCCAGAUUAUCCUCCACGGCAUCCUCGACAGCCUCGACUGCGACAACAUCAUCAGACAGAACCCUUGCAUCUUCUACAAUUAUGCGCGUCAACCGUUAUCUGCGCGGUAAGAUCGACCGUACAUUACUCAUGCAGGUGACGACGGCUAUGUGUUCAGAUUUGCCUCCAUCCCCUACUAGCGACGAUGUUUUUACACACAUCGUUUUAUGCUUGUCCGGGAAGAUUUCAGCUGAAUUAUUUGAAGAAGUUUUGGACCAAUUAGAUUUAGACGUUGGCGCACAGGCUGGACUUGCUGGAGGAAGCAGUAGUGGCGUGCAGAGGAGGGAACUUGACGAUGAUGAGCACUCUUGAUUUUAUGAGGUCAUUGAGUUUGGGAGUAUUCAUUUGCAUCAAGUGCUCAGGUGUUCACGGAAGUCUUGGAGUUCAUAUAUCAAAGGUGCAUGUGUUUCUUUGAGCUUCUCUGGAGAAAAUGGACUUGGAUAUCGGUUUGUAAACCGUCAUUGUAUUACUUUGUUGACAUUGUGAGUUGAUUCAGUUGUGCGGCAAAUUUAUAAGUGUAUGUGUGGCAAAUAUAUAAGCUGACAUUGUGUUACUUUGUUGUGUGAAAAAACAAAGUUUAUAUGUGGUUACUUUGUUGGUGUAUGAUUUAUUUAUGAAAAAACAUAUGUUACUUUGUUGUGUGAUUUAUUUAA